GCUAGAUAUCCUUCCUUCUCUACAGGGUCAACUCCGAUCUGUGAAGACAUCGGUAGGCAGAUGCUAUGCUACAACAGGAGAAUCCCCAUCCCUGAGCUUGAGGCCAGGAUCGAUGCUGUGGACGCGGAGAUGGUUCGAGAAGUGUGCACCAAGUACAUUUAUGGCAAAAGCCCGGCCAUUGCUGCUCUCGGUCCUAUUGAGCGCUUACCAGAUUUUAACCAGAUUUGUAGUAACAUGCGCUGGACUCGUGACUGAUUUUUGUGAUGAAUUAUCCUACACAUACAUAUUUAUAAAACUGAGACCUAGAAGUUUUGAAAGACUGCUCAUCUUCAAGUGAAAAA
RNAcentral lists this long non-coding RNA (341 nucleotides) under Rattus norvegicus (Norway rat). RNAcentral's name for it is "long non-coding RNA NONRATT021130". Lineage: Eukaryota; Metazoa; Chordata; Mammalia; Rodentia; Muridae. The record is from RNAcentral.